UGCCAAGGAGGUUUAUUCACUUGAUAUGUCUCUAUGUAUCAUACCAUCCCCCAAGUCUAUGUUACAAGUCGAGUAAAGUCCUAUAGUGAUCCUAACUUGUCUUUUUGAAAAUUAAAGUAAAGAAAUAAGGUAAAGCAUAUGGUAUUUGAUACACAUUGAUUGGAACUAAUCUUGUGAGUGUGAGUGUGUCUUUACUAUUCCUGCAUUGAAAUGCAUUAUUUCAUAUGAGUGAGUGGGUC
Molecule: long non-coding RNA, 239 nt
Filed under: Capsicum annuum
Lineage: Eukaryota; Viridiplantae; Streptophyta; Magnoliopsida; Solanales; Solanaceae
Description: long non-coding RNA (CANN_LNC005397)
Source: RNAcentral